RNAcentral lists this small RNA (115 nucleotides) under Marmota monax (woodchuck). The record is from RNAcentral. Lineage: Eukaryota; Metazoa; Chordata; Mammalia; Rodentia; Sciuridae.
AGGUGUGGUGGUGCACGCCUGUAGUCCCAGCACUUAGGACAUGAGUCAGGAGGAUCAUUUGAGUCCAGGAGUUUGGACUGAAUCCAGCCUGAUUGACAUAGUGAGAUCCUCUCUA